UACGUAGGGGGCAAGCGUUGUCCGGAAUCAUUGGGCGUAAAGCGCGUGUAGGCGGUUUCGUAAGUCUGCUGUGAAAGUCGGAGGCUCAACCUUCGAAUGCCAGUGGAUACUGCGGGACUUGAGUACGGAAGAGGAGAGUGGAAUUCCUGGUGUAGCGGUGAAAUGCGCAGAUAUCAGGAGGAACACCAACGGCGAAGGCAGCUCUCUGGGACGUUACUGACGCUGAGACGCGAAAGCGUGGGGAGCAAACA
Molecule: ribosomal RNA, 251 nt
Filed under: uncultured prokaryote
Description: partial 16S ribosomal RNA
Rfam family: Bacterial small subunit ribosomal RNA
Source: RNAcentral